CAGCGCCACAAGUGGUGGUCGCGUUUAUUGGGCCUAAAGCGUCCGUAGCUGGAUUGGUAACUCUUUUGUGAAAUUGUCGGGCUUAACCUGACAACGUGCAGAAGAAACUGCUAAUCUUGAGACCGGAGAGAAGUUAGAAGUAUGCCAGGGGGAGCGGUAAAAUGCUAUAAUCCUUGGUAGACUACCUGUGGCGAAGGCGUCUAACUAGAACGGAUCUGACAGUGAGGGACGAAAGCUAGGGGAGCAAACCGGAUUAGAUACCCGAGUAGUCC
RNAcentral lists this ribosomal RNA (272 nucleotides) under uncultured archaeon. RNAcentral's name for it is "partial 16S ribosomal RNA". It matches the Rfam family "Archaeal small subunit ribosomal RNA", at positions 477 to 747 of the family's 1478-position model. The record is from RNAcentral.